RNAcentral lists this ribosomal RNA (253 nucleotides) under uncultured bacterium. RNAcentral's name for it is "partial 16S ribosomal RNA". It matches the Rfam family "Bacterial small subunit ribosomal RNA", at positions 524 to 776 of the family's 1533-position model. The record is from RNAcentral.
UACGUAGGGUGCAAGCGUUAAUCGGAAUUACUGGGCGUAAAGCGUGCGCAGGCGGUGAUGUAAGACAGUUGUGAAAUCCCCGGGCUCAACCUGGGAACUGCAUCUGUGACUGCAUCGCUGGAGUGCGGCAGAGGGGGAUGGAAUUCCGCGUGUAGCAGUGAAAUGCGUAGAUAUGCGGAGGAACACCGGUGGCGAAGGCGGCAUCCUGGACCAAUUCUGACACUGAGGAGCGAAAGCCAGGGGAGCAAACGGG